Long non-coding RNA from Clupea harengus (Atlantic herring), 1225 nucleotides. The record is from Ensembl. NCBI's taxonomy places the organism in Eukaryota, Metazoa, Chordata, Actinopteri, Clupeiformes, Clupeidae.
UGGUUUUGCAUAUUCCCCACCUGUUUUAAGGGUCCAUGUAUGUUAUAAGAUAUGUAUCCGACUUGUAUGCAUUGUACUAUACGGUACUGGGCAGUAGGAAUUCCCCCAUGUGUAUGUGGGAGGCUCUGUAGAGACAGUAGUCUAGGUUUGUGUGCACACACUGACCAUUGUAGAGGACCUUAGGGGCUGUGGGCUCAAAGGGCUGCCGUGUCCCAAGGGCCAGGGGAGAUGUAUGCCAAGAAUACCAGACAAGGGCCGCUGGCAGGGAAGGCCCUAUGGUAAUCAUGACAUCUGUAUGGUAAUAGGAGCAUCCACGGAUGGGCAAAUGUCAUGGCCAAACAGGACAAGAUUUGAAUGAGCCGGACAGGAUAAAAACUCGAGGACCAAGGAAAUAAAAAAUUGGAGGAGCGUCAAGGAGGACAGCUGGCCAACACUUAGACCAGUCUGACAGCUCGGAUUCAUGGUUCUUGCGGUUAACAUGACAAACAUCCUUCACAUUGGGGUCACCUCGUCAAGCUCCCUUUCAGCAGUUUCAGAAGGGCGGCAGAGUAGAGUCAGUGUGCAUGUAGUUACCAGAGUAGAGUCAGUGUGGAUGUAGUUACCAGAGUAGAGUCAGUGUGCAUGUAGUUACCAGAGUAGAGUCAGUGUGCAUGUAGUUACCAGAGUAGAAUCAGUGUGGAUGUAGUUACCAGAGUAGAGUCAGUGUGCAUGUAGUUACCAGAUUAGAGUCAGUGUGCAUGUAGUUACCAGAGUAGAGUCAGUGUGCAUGUAGUUACCAUUAGGGGUAUUAAGUGAGGAAGAACCAUUCAUUACUGAGGGGCCCCUUUUUCAUAAUGCAGGAUUGCACUAGUCUUUGUGUGUGUGUCUGUGAAUAUGUGUAUGUGUGUACUUGUGUGUGGGUGUUACCUGCCACCGACUGUGAAAUCGGAGAUGGCGUAGAAAUAAGAGCGAAGCACUUUAGCAUCCUUGAAGAACUCAUCACCAAAUGUGUUCAGUCUGUCCAGAGAUAUCAGCAGGUCGGUAGCAGUCACCCAGUCCUGGACAGACAGAAAGAAAGAAGGGGAGAGAAGGGAAAAGAAAAAGAAAGAGAGAGAGAGAAGAAGGAAAAAUCAAAAGAGAGACAGAGGCAUUGUGUCACCAGCAUUGAACAGUUGUGACAACACUGAGGAAGCAAGCAUUUCUUCCCUGUACAAAUGAAAUGUAUAACCCAUAACCCCCCCCCCCC